This is a long non-coding RNA of Pezoporus flaviventris, 691 nucleotides long. RefSeq lists it as uncharacterized. The transcript has 4 exons. The record is from RefSeq and is a predicted model, not a curated record. NCBI's taxonomy places the organism in Eukaryota, Metazoa, Chordata, Aves, Psittaciformes, Psittacidae.
UUCCUCCCACCUUUGGCCACUCUCCUGCUGCCUCUCUGCCCCUCCAGCCAUCCCCACUCCCCUGUCUGCAUUCUUCUCCAUCUGCCCUGUUUGCCUCCCAUCACAGCAUCUGACAGACCCUGCCUUUCUGCAGAGAGACCAGGGCAGUCACCUACAGCUCUCCACAGGGCGCUGAGUCCCAGGGGGCAGCAAGACCCUUUUCCCUCCUGCUGUAUUUGAGAGGUAUGGAGAACAGGACCCUGUUGUGCUAAUCUCUGGAUAAGCUUAUAAUGAGAGUCCCCAUACUGACAAAUCCAUUAUAUAAAUGGAAAAAGAGACCCAGAGAGAGCAGGGACACAAAAGGGAGCGAACAAUACAGGAGCUGCGAAUAUCAGGUAAGGUGGCUUUGGAGAACUGCUGAUGAGCCUCUUUCGGCAGUUUGCCUACACUGCCUUCAUUAGGAUGACACAUCCAGCCACCAAUUCUUCAACAGACACCUAAAAGGCACAAACUGUGAGGAAGUUUCCCUGUGGAUAUAGCCCAUCUGACAUCUGUUUCAUCUUUCAGGACCUCAAGAGCAAGUGGUAAUCAUUCUACCAUGGGAACGAAAGACAGCAGGAUAAAGCUCAAACUUGCCAUUCUUAGCUGGUCAAAACAGAAGUUCUGUCUCCAUAACUCCAACUUUCCCUUCAAAUACAUGUGUUGAAACUUU